AAUCAACGCUGGCGGCGCGCUUAACACAUGCAAGUCGAACGAGAAAGCAGGGGCAACUCUGUGAGUACAGUGGCGUACGGGUGAGUAACACGUGGAUGAUCUACCCUGGAGUGGGGAAUAACGCUGGGAAACCGGCGCUAAUACCGCAUAAUCCCGAGAGGGCAAAGGAAGCAAUUUCGCUUCAGGAGGAGUCCGCGGCCGAUUAGCUGGUUGGCAGGGUAAAAGCCUACCAAGGCAACGAUCGGUAGCCGGCCUGAGAGGGCACACGGCCACACUG
This 277-nucleotide ribosomal RNA is filed under the name uncultured bacterium. RNAcentral's name for it is "partial 16S ribosomal RNA". It matches the Rfam family "Bacterial small subunit ribosomal RNA", at positions 32 to 315 of the family's 1533-position model. The record is from RNAcentral.